GGUGAACGCUAGCUACAGGCUUAACACAUGCAAGUCGAGGGGCAGCAUUUUUUAUUGGCAAUAUAAAAGAAUGCGACCGGCGCACGGGUGAGUAACACGUAUCCAACCUGCCGAUAACUCGGGGAGUAACCCUUCGAAAGAAGGCCUAAUACCCGAUGGCAUAUCCCUUUCCGCCUGGUUGGGAUAUUAAAGAACUUCGGUUAUCGAUGGGGAGGCGUUCCAUUAGCUUGUUGGCGGGUAACGGCCCACCAAGGCUUCGAUGGAUAGGGGUUCUGAGAGGAAGGUCCCCCACAUUGGAACUGAGACACGGUCCAAACUCCUACGGGAGGCAGCAGUGAGGAAUAUUGGUCAAUGGACGAGAGUCUG
Molecule: ribosomal RNA, 366 nt
Filed under: uncultured bacterium
Lineage: Bacteria
Description: bacterial SSU rRNA
Rfam family: Bacterial small subunit ribosomal RNA
Source: RNAcentral